Molecule: ribosomal RNA, 551 nt
Filed under: uncultured bacterium
Lineage: Bacteria
Description: partial 16S ribosomal RNA
Rfam family: Bacterial small subunit ribosomal RNA
Source: RNAcentral
AGGGAAUCUUCCACAAUGGACGAAAGUCUGAUGGAGCAACGCCGCGUGAGUGAAGAAGGUUUUCGGAUCGUAAAGCUCUGUUGUUGGUGAAGAAGGAUAGAGGCAGUAACUGGUCUUUAUUUGACGGUAAUCAACCAGAAAGUCACGGCUAACUACGUGCCAGCAGCCGCGGUAAUACGUAGGUGGCAAGCGUUGUCCGGAUUUAUUGGGCGUAAAGCGAGCGCAGGCGGAAUGAUAAGUCUGAUGUGAAAGCCCACGGCUCAACCGUGGAACUGCAUCGGAAACUGUCAUUCUUGAGUGCAGAAGAGGAGAGUGGAACUCCAUGUGUAGCGGUGGAAUGCGUAGAUAUAUGGAAGAACACCAGUGGCGAAGGCGGCUCUCUGGUCUGCAACUGACGCUGAGGCUCGAAAGCAUGGGUAGCGAACAGGAUUAGAUACCCUGGUAGUCCAUGCCGUAAACGAUGAGCGCUAGGUGUUGGGGACUUUCCGGUCCUCAGUGCCGCAGCAAACGCAUUAAGCGCUCCGCCUGGGGAGUACGACCGCAAGGUUGAA